This is a long non-coding RNA of Solanum pennellii, 781 nucleotides long. RefSeq lists it as uncharacterized. The record is from RefSeq and is a predicted model, not a curated record. The transcript has 3 exons. Lineage: Eukaryota; Viridiplantae; Streptophyta; Magnoliopsida; Solanales; Solanaceae.
GGUGGCCACCACGCCCAGUGGUGCCACCCAGCCUCCCUAAUGCUGCCCCAAAAAAAGGCUCCCCUUCACGAGACACUUCACGGCUCGUGGUGAAGACCACGGCGCAUGGGGUUGCCUUCACCUUGUGGGGACAUUUCAAGGUAGCAUAGCUACUGGUCAAGGAACCAAGGGCACCUUCACGGUUCGUGGUGCCCUUGACGGUUCGUAAGGUAGGGCGUGGGGCCUGGAAUCUCACUUUAAGGGAGGGUUAUUUUAGGUCAUUCCUUUUUAGAUGAGUAUUAAGUGAGGUCGUUCUUCUUUAGUUUUAUACACCUAUAUAAGUCAUUUUUAGUCAAAAUACACUCAUUCACCCCAUUAUUAUUUUCAAAACCCCAAAUCAAAUCACAAAGUUUAUCUUCUUUCAAAAAAAAAUCUCUCUCUAGAAAACUCAAGGAAGAAGAAGAGGAUCAAGCUAGUUCAACUCUCCAUUGUUCAAGCUUGCCACGCUUUAUAAUCAAGGUUCCGGUUCUGAAAGUGGUCCCUACUGUGGCUAAAGCUUGGUUUGAUCAUUCCUCCUAGCUUGUUGUAUCUAGUUAGGGCGAGUUUCGUAGCAGUUGAUUUGAUUUAGCAAAGUUUUCUCUUUUAAAGUUGUGGUGAGAUCCUGCUUUCUUAGAUCGCCAUUAGUUUUCAUCUACUAUCAUUUAAAGUCUUUAACUUCCCUUUUGAAGACUUGAGAUGUAUUUCAGAUUUUAGAAAUGUAUUAGAUGCUGUUUCUAUUUAUGCUACAAAGUUUUGAGGAUUC